UCCGGUCCUGCACGGCUAGUAUGGCCAUAAUAAGACAACAUGUGAAGUGACUGAUUAAAUUGAGUCACUUUUUGAUAUCAGUCUUAAAUGUUAGCAUAGGGUGUACAUGGGACUCAUUUUAUUGGUGUGAUUGGAUAUAAGCCACAGUGACACUGAAACUUUUCUGCUCUGUGGAAAUAUGUAUUUCAUUCGUUUUUUUUUUUUGAAAAUCCCUCAUUUGUGGCUCUUGUUUGUAUUGUCUAUGGUUUUUUGACAAUUUAAAUGUCACCAAACGUCAAAUUUGAAGAAAAUUUUCGCUGUUUGGUGCGUUCGAGUGAAAUAUUUUGGUAAUAUUACCAUUGCAUUUUUGCAUUGCGCUACCCCAUGGACUCAUAUUGGCUCAUUAACUACUUUCUUGAGUUUCUUGGACAUCGUCACAUGAAAUAAUAUACGACCGAGCUUGCUCCCGACCAAGCACGAUCAGAUUCCUUGGGAGUUCUUCGGCAGACGAUUUCUAUGCACCAGCUCCAUGAGACGAAGAACAAAACAGCAUGCCACCUGACUGAUGACCCACCCACCGUUUACCCGGCCCCAGGAGCUAGAAGGCCUUGAGACAAAAGCUCGGGCAGGAUUCUGACGGGCGCAACAGAAUAUCAUCUACGAUGCUUGUCCCACGGCCUGACUGAAUAAUAUUUAUAUAUUCAAUGGAAGGAAAAAACAGUAGAACAUUGAAAUUGGCUCGUAGGCAAGACGGAAGAUGGUCAAAACCGGUCAGAAAAUGAUGGCCUAGACACGGUUGGAGAGCUCUUGUUGGCAGAAACCACCUGAAGAUGGUCAGAUGACAUCAGCAACCUUG
This is a non-coding RNA of Plutella xylostella (diamondback moth), 835 nucleotides long. The record is from RefSeq and is a predicted model, not a curated record. Lineage: Eukaryota; Metazoa; Arthropoda; Insecta; Lepidoptera; Plutellidae.